RNAcentral lists this ribosomal RNA (424 nucleotides) under Verrucomicrobiota bacterium. Its description in RNAcentral is "Verrucomicrobia bacterium partial 16S ribosomal RNA". It matches the Rfam family "Bacterial small subunit ribosomal RNA", at positions 355 to 776 of the family's 1533-position model. The record is from RNAcentral. Lineage: Bacteria; Pseudomonadati; Verrucomicrobiota.
UGAGGAAUAUUGGUCAAUGGACGAGAGUCUGAACCAGCCAAGCAGCGUGCAGGAUGACGGCCCUAUGGGUUGUAAACUGCUUUUGUUUGGGAAUAAUCGACAUUACGUGUAAUGCUUUGCAUGUACCAUUCGAAUAAGGACCGGCUAAUUCCGUGCCAGCAGCCGCGGUAAUACGGAAGGUCCAGGCGUUAUCCGGAUUUAUUGGGUGUAAAGGGAGUGUAGGCGGUUGGUUAAGCGUGUUGUGAAAUGUAGAUGCUCAACAUCUGACUUGGAGCGGGAACUGGCUGACUUGAGUACACACAACGUAGGCGGAAUUCAUGGUGUAGCGGUGAAAUGCUUAGAUAUCAUGAAGAACGCCGAUGGCGAGGGCAGCUUGAGGGAGUGUUACUGACACUUAAGCUCGAAGGUGCGGGUAUCGAACAGG